This 496-nucleotide ribosomal RNA is filed under the name uncultured bacterium. RNAcentral describes it as "partial 16S ribosomal RNA". It matches the Rfam family "Bacterial small subunit ribosomal RNA", at positions 29 to 507 of the family's 1533-position model. The record is from RNAcentral.
AUGAACGCUGGCGGCGUGCCUAAUACAUGCAAGUCGAGCGCACAGACGAGGAGCUUGCUCCUCUGACGUUAGCGGCGGACGGAUGAGUAACACGUGGAUAACCUACCUAUAAGACUGGGAUAACUUCGGGAAACCGGAGCUAAUACCGGAUAAUAUAUUGAACCGCAUGGUUCAAUAGUGAAAGACGGUUUUGCUGUCACUUAUAGAUGGAUCCGCGCCGCAUUAGCUAGUUGGUAAGGUAACGGCUUACCAAGGCAACGAUGCGUAGCCGACCUGAGAGGGUGAUCGGCCACACUGGAACUGAGACACGGUCCAGACUCCUACGGGAGGCAGCAGUAGGGAAUCUUCCGCAAUGGGCGAAAGCUUGACGGAGCAACGCCGCGUGAGUGAUGAAGGUCUUCGGAUCGUAAAACUCUGUUAUUAGGGAAGAACAAAUGUGUAAGUAACUAUGCACGUCUUGACGGUACCUAAUCAGAAAGCCACGGCUAACUACGUG